GAUGAACGCUGGCGGCGUGCCUAAUACAUGCAAGUCGAGCGAACAGACGAGGAGCUUGCUCCUCUGACGUUAGCGGCGGACGGGUGAGUAACACGUGGAUAACCUACCUAUAAGACUGGGAUAACUUCGGGAAACCGGAGCUAAUACCGGAUAAUAUAUUGAACCGCAUGGUUCAAUAGUGAAAGACGGUUUUGCUGUCACUUAUAGAUGGAUCCGCGCCGCAUUAGCUAGUUGGUAAGGUAACGGCUUACCAAGGCGACGAUGCGUAGCCGACCUGAGAGGGUGAUCGGCCACACUGGAACUGAGACACGGUCCAGACUCCUACGGGAGGCAGCAGUAGGGAAUCUUCCGCAAUGGGCGAAAGCUUGACGGAGCAACGCCGCGUGAGUGAUGAAGGUCUUCGGAUCGUAAAACUCUGUUAUUAGGGAAGAACAAAUGUGUAAGUAACUAUGCAAGUCUUGACGGUACCUAAUCAGAAAGCCACGGCUAACUACGUG
RNAcentral lists this ribosomal RNA (497 nucleotides) under uncultured bacterium. Its description in RNAcentral is "partial 16S ribosomal RNA". It matches the Rfam family "Bacterial small subunit ribosomal RNA", at positions 28 to 507 of the family's 1533-position model. The record is from RNAcentral.